UGAGCCAAAACCUUGUCAAAUUGCUCAAGAUAUAGUUCAAGUCACAACCACUAGUAAAUCAUGUCACUUACUACCCUUAGAUUGCAUGCACUAACUUCAAAAUCCAAUACAUCCUUCAUUCCAACUUAGAAUCCAGCAAGAAAUAUACAAAAAGUGUAGCCACAAAAGUGCUCUCUCCAAUCAUCAUUGCCGAUGCUCAAUUGCCUUCUGUAUACAUGCAUUAUGUCAAAAAGGGUGACAGUAGCUCUCAAAUCAAUAUCUUAACUUUGAGCAUGUAUAUCUCCUUCAUAUGAACUCCAAAUCAUACAAGAUUUGUUCCAAAACCAUAGAAAAAAACCUAAGCUCUCCAACUCUAGUCUUUAAAAUUUGAAUGGCUCCAAAAAACUAACCCUAAUCUCUAAUAUGGCCUCGGGCAGCCUCCUCGAAGCCCAUUGUUCAUGAUUUUUGACCAAUAGGAAUGGAGAUUUUCAUCAUCCAUCUCCAUUCAUCUAUAUAGAUGCCCUAAACUUUCUUUUUAUUAUCAAAAUCCCUCUUCAACUCUUUUAUUUAUAAGAUUUACUCAAUAUAUGCCCUAAAUAUCAAAUUAAAGAAUCAAAAUAAGACUUAAGGGUCACCAAUGUCUAAUAAAGAUGGCUCUAAAUAUUUAAAUUUACUACCAAAAAAAUCAAUCUCAAAAGCCACUAUCAAAAGAAAAUAAAGUUAUAAAAAUUUUAACAAUAAUCUUUUUAAACAACCUCUUUUUAAAGUAGUAAUUUAACCACUCUACAACCAAUUAAAAUUCAAUAACAUGGCUUUCACCAUGUUGUUCAGUAAAUUAUACAUUAAAUACAUAAUCAUAUUAUUUUCACAUCG
RNAcentral lists this long non-coding RNA (852 nucleotides) under Physcomitrium patens. RNAcentral's name for it is "long non-coding RNA (PPAT_LNC008115)". The record is from RNAcentral. Lineage: Eukaryota; Viridiplantae; Streptophyta; Bryopsida; Funariales; Funariaceae.